This 492-nucleotide ribosomal RNA is filed under the name uncultured bacterium. RNAcentral describes it as "partial 16S ribosomal RNA". It matches the Rfam family "Bacterial small subunit ribosomal RNA", at positions 29 to 507 of the family's 1533-position model. The record is from RNAcentral.
AGUGAACGCUGGCGGUAGGCCUAACACAUGCAAGUCGAACGGCAGCACAGUAAGAGCUUGCUCUUACGGGUGGCGAGUGGCGGACGGGUGAGGAAUACAUCGGAAUCUACUUUUUCGUGGGGGAUAACGUAGGGAAACUUACGCUAAUACCGCAUACGACCUACGGGUGAAAGCAGGGGAUCUUCGGACCUUGCGCGAUUGAAUGAGCCGAUGUCGGAUUAGCUAGUUGGCGGGGUAAAGGCCCACCAAGGCGACGAUCCGUAGCUGGUCUGAGAGGAUGAUCAGCCACAAUGGAACUGAGGCACGGUCCAGACGCCUACGGGAGGCAGCAGUGGGGAAUAUUGGACAAUGGGCGCAAGCCUGAUCCAGCCAUACCGCGUGGGUGAAGAAGGCCUUCGGGUUGUAAAGCCCUUUUGUUGGGAAAGAAAAGCAGCAGGUUAAUACCCCGCUGUUCUGACGGUACCCAAAGAAUAAGCACCGGCUAACUUCGUG